GUGUGAACGUGUGACUGAUGAGUUUGUUGUGUUUUUUCAUCUGACAACGCUAUUUUUGUCAUGACAUGAUUUGAAACUCCACAAAGAUUACUUGGAGAUUCAUUAUCCUCAUCAUCAGUGACCUUCAAGCAAUAUCGCUUUUGAUUCAAGAGACUACGUCUUCCGAAAUGUGUCUCGUGCCUAAGUCUAUGGCUUGAUGUUCACUAUCUUCAAAUGCAUUUGAAGUGACAUGACUUAUAGGCAGUCUAAUCACACCACAUACCAUUCUCGUAAAGAGAUUGCCAUAAUAUCAGAGGGUUACUGUUAUAUAUUAAAGUACAUGAACGAGACCUCUGUGAGUCAUGCUACAAGAUUAUUAGGACUUCUUAGGGCUGUAUCCUUGAAUAAGAAUUAUAAAUGGAACAAGGUAAAAUUAAAGAAGUUAGACUAUAAAAUAAGAGACUAAAGGUAACUGAUGAAUAGUAUGUGAGAGAGAGAAAGCAGUAAAUCUGGGGGUUAAAGUGAUACAGAGAAUCAUUUGGUGGUAGCUGCAUUGUGCUGGGGCCCAGCUUAAAUGGUUACUCAAGAAUAAUUUCCAUGACUAUUUUAAUUCCCUCAGUCACAUUUUUACUCAAGUUUUCCUCUUAUGAAUUUAGAUCUCCAAAGAGUUUACUCCCUUGUCUUAUAUUUUGUAGACUUUCAGCCAGAAUUCCAUUGUUGUUCAGACCAUGGCUUGCACUUUGUUCCCAUUGCCUCAGUCUUAAACUUAGUUUUGCUUGCUUUCAUUAUUUUCAACUUUCCAGUCUUCCAUCUUUCAAACAAUGUAGUAAGAUAAGCUGAUUCAGCUGGUAAGACAAUGGGACUUGAUAACCCUUGCUUGCAUGUAUCAACCUACUGGACAGAGCUGUUCCUUUUGAAUCUACAGUGGACUAUGGUGCCAAUGACUUCUGACUACACAUAAAUUAGCCCAAGUUAAGGCAUGGGAUUAGGACCUAUAGGAAAAGUAAUAGUUUCUAAAACAAAAGUUUUGGAUGGGAUUAUUGGGAAGAUAGACCCCUAAUGUCUUGAGCCAUGUAGUUCCUUCAUUCACGCGGGUAUAAGUUUCACCUCUCACUUGAAUACAUCCUUUAGAUGAACCUUAUGAAAGAAAAGAUGUUACUAUUUAAUAGUAGGUCUCUCUCUCUCUCUC
Long non-coding RNA from Macrobrachium nipponense, 1168 nucleotides. RefSeq lists it as uncharacterized. The record is from RefSeq and is a predicted model, not a curated record. NCBI's taxonomy places the organism in Eukaryota, Metazoa, Arthropoda, Malacostraca, Decapoda, Palaemonidae. The transcript has 2 exons.